RNAcentral lists this long non-coding RNA (1148 nucleotides) under Apteryx rowi (Okarito brown kiwi). Its description in RNAcentral is "lncRNA (ENSARWG00000018351.1)". Lineage: Eukaryota; Metazoa; Chordata; Aves; Apterygiformes; Apterygidae. The record is from RNAcentral.
UGUUGCUGUCACUGAUGGAAUUUGAUUGUUGCCAUCCUGUAGCCCAAGUCAGGCUGUGGUGGGAACAAAGCACACGAAAGUGAAGCCUGCUUCUGCGGUGUGACUUCUGCUCUCAAGCUCUUUUGUAUACAGAAGAGGGUUCAAGACUCCUAAGAAGCACAGCAGAACAGGAACAAGAGCCUCAGCUCCUGGCUGAGGGAGAGGAGUCUCAGGAGACAGCUGAGCCCAGCUCAUGGACUCCUUGCAGAACAAAGAAUGUCAUGGCACUAUUUACGAUUUUUUGAAAGUUUUAUUUUUGAUGUCUUCAUUUUUUUUGUUUAUUUUCAGCAUGGGAAAUAUUGUCUUAUGAUCAGCUGAAUUUUAUUAUCCUCCCUUGGAAACUUCAAGGUGGGGGGAAAGAARGAGAGAGAGAGAAGGGGACUCUCUAGGAAGAUCAUCUGCUCCAGGCAUUAUGAAACCACUUUUGAAGACUGGCGAGCGUUAUAUAACACUGGAUUUGAACUCCCAUUUAGAAAAUGGGAGCAGAAGAAACGGGCAAAUAUCACUGAUCUUGACAAAUUUGAGUGGAGCAGCGAGCAGGACCCUGCGUGGGCUGAAAGCGCUCGCUCYUGCGCAGUGCUCGGCAGCAGGGGGGAGGAAGGGUUUAACCAGGCGUCCGGACCUGCCCAGACCCGGGACUAUUGAACCACCGUUUGGUAGAAAUGCAGCUUUGCUUAAUUUUCUCAUAUUUUUUUUGUGUGCUUAAUUUAUUAAAAUAGUUGCUGUAUAAUUUAUUUUCAUAAACUAUAUUAAAAAGUUACUAAAUGGUAAAACAGACUUGCAGGCCAAUCUUUCAGAAAAAAAAAAAGUUUUUUGAUAUAAACACAACAAAUGCACUUUGGGUGUGUUUGAUUAUUUUUGGGGGUAGGGGAGGGGGAGACUGGCUGUACCUGUGGAUUCGUUCCAGAGUGGGUUUGUCUGUAUAUAUUGUAUUAAUAGGCAUGUUUGGCCUCUCGUAUGGAGACGUUAGUAACUGCUGCAGGUCCUGUUUGGGAAGCCGGUGUGAAGUUCCCAGUUUUUUGUAAGGUGUCAGUGAGGGAGAACUGACUUUUGUGUUUGUAACUCAUUUUUAUUGUCGUUUUGACUGAUGGUUUUUUGGUUGGGGGGGG